This 254-nucleotide ribosomal RNA is filed under the name uncultured bacterium. RNAcentral's name for it is "partial 16S ribosomal RNA". It matches the Rfam family "Bacterial small subunit ribosomal RNA", at positions 524 to 776 of the family's 1533-position model. The record is from RNAcentral.
UACGGAGGGGGCUAGCGUUGUUCGGAAUUACUGGGCGUAAAGGGCGCGCAGGCGGCUGCUCAAGUCAGGCGUGAAAGGCCUGGGCUCAACCCGGGAAUUGCGCUUGAGACUGGGCUGGCUUGAGUGCGGGAGAGGAUGGUGGAAUUCCCAGUGUAGAGGUGAAAUUCGUAGAUAUUGGGAAGAACACCGGUGGCGAAGGCGGCCAUCUGGACCGCAACUGACGCUGAGGCGCGAAAGUGUGAGUAGCAAACAGG